Molecule: long non-coding RNA, 1012 nt
Organism: Emys orbicularis (European pond turtle)
Lineage: Eukaryota; Metazoa; Chordata; Testudines; Emydidae
Exons: 3
Source: RefSeq, a predicted model, not a curated record
CCCGUUGGGCCCCGUCCGAGCAGCGCGACCGAGGCUGCUGCCCCCACGACCCCAAGCUGGAUGCGCUCCCUCAGGGGCCUGUGCUGAGAAAUCGGGGCCCGCCGAGGACUAGUACGAGCGGCGCACGUCCGCGGGAGCAGGCCCGGAGCGUAGCGGUGCACAAGCCCCAGCGUCCUUCCCCUCAGCUGGACGUUAAACAGCCAUGUAAACAAACGCGCCACACAACCGGUAGCUCCUCAGAUAUAAACCUUGCAGCAACCCCUCCCCUGCUUUUCAUCUAUUGACAUUGGCUGGUGCGUAGUUGCUGGGCCUGGAACAAUGUGUACAGUGGGGGUGUUGAUAGCUAUUGUAUUGAACAAAACUCUAAACCGGCUAUGUGAUGGAAACUACUUCAAAUCAGGAGGUCCUGCUUCACCCCGAGCACCUCUAAUUCCAGCAUCUAUGGGCUAGUGUAUUUGCAACAGCAGACUUGGUUUACCUUAGCCUAUUUGCAAGCGUUUUGCUCUGAGUCUGAAGUAAAAGGUCCCCACCCCUCCUUCUAAAUGGAAAAACACCAGGUUUAAGAUGGAUUCCAGUUCAGAUGACAUGAUCACAUGUCGCCGUAAGACCUCCUUCUUCAUUACCUAGGAGCCGGCCGACAUGUACACAGGAAGGCUUGCAGGAAUGUACCUGUUGGACAAUCAAAGGAGUUGCUCCAUUCCUAUGGACCCCAAAUCAGAAUUCAACAUAUAUAUUUUAUAUUAAUAACAUUCUAUCAAAGUAUUAAUUAAAUGUUAACUUGCUAACUUGAGAACUGGGCAGAGACAUUAUGUAACCUGUUAACCAUUGGCUAAUGUGCUAUCUUGUCUUGCUGCAAAACCUAUCCCGGGGUAUGGAACUGCCUACCCCGUCACUUUCCUCCGCCCAUAGAAAAUCUAUAUAGUCUAUUGUAAUCAAUUGAUUGAUAGUAUCUCUGAGCCUAAUAAGCAAGGUGACACUCCACCAGCGCUGUGUGUAAUAAACUCCUAUGCUU